GAUUCCAUAGCUCAGUUGGUAGAGCACGGGACUUUUAAUCCCAUGGUCCUCGGUUCGAGCCCGAGUGGAAUCA
This 73-nucleotide transfer RNA is filed under the name Streptomyces sp. ScaeMP-e83. Its description in RNAcentral is "tRNA_Lys_TTT". It matches the Rfam family "tRNA". Rfam says of the family: Transfer RNA (tRNA) molecules are approximately 80 nucleotides in length. Lineage: Bacteria; Bacillati; Actinomycetota; Actinomycetes; Kitasatosporales; Streptomycetaceae. The record is from RNAcentral. RNAcentral also lists the same sequence under 1 other name.